GGACGUGUGCCCGAACGACAAGGACUACUUUGAUAGAGUAACAAACAGGGGUUCAACUCCCCUCACCUCCC
RNAcentral lists this transfer RNA (71 nucleotides) under Hemidactylus frenatus (common house gecko). Its description in RNAcentral is "tRNA-Ile". It matches the Rfam family "tRNA". From Rfam's summary of the family: Transfer RNA (tRNA) molecules are approximately 80 nucleotides in length. Their secondary structure includes four short double-helical elements and three loops (D, anti-codon, and T loops). The record is from RNAcentral. Lineage: Eukaryota; Metazoa; Chordata; Lepidosauria; Squamata; Gekkonidae.